Molecule: ribosomal RNA, 541 nt
Filed under: Ascochyta rabiei
Lineage: Eukaryota; Fungi; Ascomycota; Dothideomycetes; Pleosporales; Didymellaceae
Description: eukaryotic LSU rRNA
Rfam family: 5.8S ribosomal RNA (bases 182-335)
Source: RNAcentral
GUAACAAGGUUUCCGUAGGUGAACCUGCGGAAGGAUCAUUACCUAGAGUUUGUGGGCUUUGCCCGCUACCUCUUACCCAUGUCUUUUGAGUACUUACGUUUCCUCGGCGGGUCCGCCCGCCGAUUGGACAAAAUCAAACCCUUUGCAGUUGCAAUCAGCGUCUGAAAAACAUAAUAGUUACAACUUUCAACAACGGAUCUCUUGGUUCUGGCAUCGAUGAAGAACGCAGCGAAAUGCGAUAAGUAGUGUGAAUUGCAGAAUUCAGUGAAUCAUCGAAUCUUUGAACGCACAUUGCGCCCCUUGGUAUUCCAUGGGGCAUGCCUGUUCGAGCGUCAUUUGUACCUUCAAGCUUUGCUUGGUGUUGGGUGUUUGUCUCGCCUCUGCGUGUAGACUCGCCUUAAAACAAUUGGCAGCCGGCGUAUUGAUUUCGGAGCGCAGUACAUCUCGCGCUUUGCACUCAUAACGACGACGUCCAAAAGUACAUUUUUACACUCUUGACCUCGGAUCAGGUAGGGAUGCACCCGCUGAACUUAAGCAUAUC